UAAAAUCACCUACAUUGGCUUAUCUAUCUUUAUAAUUUUAAAUAACUAUGAACAAUGAUUAUCUAUCUUUGAAGAUGUCAUUUUCCUUUUUCAAACAUUAUUUUUAUUAUUUCUUUUUUCUCUCUCAUCGGAACGGCACAUCCCGAGGACACCGAACGGCUCUUUCUUCCACUUUGGUUUUUCUUUCUCUCCUUUCUUUUCAUUUCUCUCUUCACCGUCGUUUCUCCUUCUUCCCCAAUGGCUCUCAUUGCUCACGGCACGGCCCCCACAUUGUUUCUCUCUCUUGUUGCUCCCGACUGGAUUUCUACUCUUCACGGCUGGAACUGCUCUUCACGGCUCUAUUCUUCACGGUUUUCUCUGCUUUGGAUUCAUCACCAACACAAAUCCAUCAACAACACAACCCGAAAGUCCUAGCUUUUGCUAUGGAGAGCUGUGGAGCUGAAUGAUGUUGUGGAGCUGAAUGAGAUUUAUGUACUUGUGGUUGUUGCUCUGGAGCUGCUGUGGAGCUGAAUGGUGCUGUCGUGGAGCUGUUGUGGAGCUGUUGUGGAGCUGCCAAGUUGUAUUAAAAUCAACUUUGUGGAUUUUCCAUUAAGUUGAUUUUGAUACAUGGGAUUUAUUUAAAUUUGUAUGGAGGUUUUUUUGGUUAGAAGUUGAAUUUAUAUGGCAUAUAUUUUGCAAACACUAAAUUUGUAUGGAAUAGAUAUGUCCAAGUUGUGAAUUUGUAUGAACACAGAAAUCAUAUAGAGCUGCUGUGGAUUUUUCUGUGUUGCUUCAAAUAUGUGAAAUUUGUAUGGUAUUUUGUAAACACUGAAUUUGUAUGGAGUAGAAUUUUCCAAGUUAUGAAUUUGUAUGAAA
Molecule: long non-coding RNA, 855 nt
Organism: Carya illinoinensis
Lineage: Eukaryota; Viridiplantae; Streptophyta; Magnoliopsida; Fagales; Juglandaceae
Exons: 2
Source: RefSeq, a predicted model, not a curated record